UACCAGCACCCCGAGUGGUCGGGACGAUUAUUGGGCCUAAAGCAUCCGUAGCCGGUUCUACAAGUCUUCCGUUAAAUCCACCUGCUUAACAGAUGGGCUGCGGAGGAUACUAUGGAGCUAGGAGGCGGGAGAGGCAAGCGGUACUUAGUGGGUAGGGGUAAAAUCCGUUGAUCCAUUGAAGACCACCAGUGGCGAAGGCGGCUUGCCAGAACGCACUCGACGGUGAGGGAUGAAAGCUGGGGGAGCGAACAGG
RNAcentral lists this ribosomal RNA (253 nucleotides) under uncultured bacterium. Its description in RNAcentral is "partial 16S ribosomal RNA". It matches the Rfam family "Archaeal small subunit ribosomal RNA", at positions 474 to 727 of the family's 1478-position model. The record is from RNAcentral.